CUAUGACAACUUUAGAGGAGGCAUAUGAAUUAUUUCUGAGAUGCCCUUGUCAAGAAGAGAGAAUGUGGGCAGAGUAAGUGCUCA
RNAcentral lists this long non-coding RNA (84 nucleotides) under Callithrix jacchus (white-tufted-ear marmoset). RNAcentral's name for it is "lncRNA (ENSCJAG00000080827.1)". The record is from RNAcentral. Lineage: Eukaryota; Metazoa; Chordata; Mammalia; Primates; Cebidae.